Molecule: ribosomal RNA, 253 nt
Filed under: uncultured bacterium
Lineage: Bacteria
Description: partial 16S ribosomal RNA
Rfam family: Bacterial small subunit ribosomal RNA
Source: RNAcentral
UACGUAGGGUGCGAGCGUUGUCCGGAAUUAUUGGGCGUAAAGGGCUCGUAGGCGGUCUGUCGCGUCGGGAGUGAAAACUCAGGGCUUAACCCUGAGCCUGCUUCCGAUACGGGCAGACUAGAGGUAUACAGGGGAGGACGGAAUUCCUGGUGUAGCGGUGGAAUGCGCAGAUAUCAGGAGGAACACCGGUGGCGAAGGCGGUUCUCUGGGCAUUACCUGACGCUGAGGAGCGAAAGUGUGGGGAGCGAGCAGG